CUCGAGGCAAAUCAUGUCCCCACUUUUUUAAUGCGCAUGCGCGACCCUCUGGCAAGUGUCAUGCACAUUUUUUAUCAGGAAAAAGAUAGGGAAAUGCAAAAUUUUGGCAGUAAAACGGCGAUUUUAAGCGCAGUAAACGAUCUAUCUUCAUUUUGUGCACGAAUUUUGCAAAUAAAUGGCACACUGCGUCUUCUUAGCAAAAGGGAAUUGAACGAAUACCAUUUUUAACGGCGAAAAUGAGAAAAGACACCCGAAGGAGUGAGAAUUUCUGGCAAUCUGAAGAUUCGAUUCUGUAGACCUGAACUCCAGCUGGAACUUGGCAACUUUAUAUGUGAGUUUUUUUUCUCUAGCUCAUAUAUAUGAAAUUAUCAAUAUAUUUUUGUGAAGUGCUAUGUUGUAUGAAAGGGUUGUCGUUAAUUUAAACAUUGCAUAAACAGCAUUCAGAUACGAAAAAUAUGAACAUCAACAUUCAACAUGGACUGAUGGACUUGGACAUGGAGCCACAGUACUCUAAAGUUCUCAUAUAGACUCUAUUUAACUUAUAUGUUGACCCAAUGGUGAGGGAUUGGUCAAAUUAUACUUUAUAGUGAUUCCCCUAGACUAGUGCAUUGGUUAUUGUGCAAUGACAACCUUUUUUUUGGCUCUCAAAGGUCAAUAAUUUCUCAAACAUGCCAGGUCUGUACAUGUUUAAUAUUAAAUCUAAUCUGUUUAUUUUUUAUUUUGCUUUUCUAGAUUGCCAACCAUUCCUGUUGAACUACAUUGUUCAUUACAAUGAAUCAGAUGCAGAUUCUUACAACUAUGUUAAUUUGUUCUUCUGAUUGGGCAAAACCUGAGACUAUUUGAUCUUAUAUUGGAAUGCCUACCAAUUUUACAUAGCCUCAGGCAAUGUUUAUAUAAUUAAUCUUGAGUAAUAGAGAUGCUGUACCCCCUGACGGAGUGACCUUACUACCUGGAUCAUCCCACUAGGCAAGACAAGUUCAAAACUUUCCAUGCAAACACUUGCAUGGCAGUUGCUAUAAUAGGAUAUGAAUAUAGUUUUGCCUUGCCAGGGUGGCUCGGGGGGGGGGGGUAAGAUUUCCCUAGUACCCGGAGACCAUAUAGACAGGCCGUCGGAUUACUGUAAUAGUUUAAUUGAGGUUCAAAAAAGCAGCCCCCUCCCCCAAAGUGGUAGGCCUGCUCCCCAAAUCCAGCCCCCCUUGGAAGAUGUACUGUAAAGCUAGACAAUUUUACUUGUUAACCCAACUUUAUUAUUCUGUCUAACACUGGGCGAUCCAGUUAACCCAUUGAGUUGCAUUGCAUGUGCCCUGAUGCACCCUACUUUAUUAUUUUACUCUGUCUAACGCCAGACGAUUUUACUUGUCAAGGGGUGGGCACACUUUAACAGGCAAAGUAUUAUUUGGGAAUACUUUCUCUUUUAAUGGGAAACUCUUUAUCAAUAAAAGGAACAAUGCAAUUAUUCAUAGCAUUUAACUUUUCAUAUAAAGCAAAGACUGUAAGAGGAAACAUGGAUCAUUGGCUACUUUUUUUAUUUAGUAUUAAUUUUCAUGACAACAUGUGGGGUCAACUAUAAAGGAAACAGUUAUUGCCUAUUUUGGAAUAAUAAAAUUAGAAUAUAGCAAUAUUCAUUGACAUUGAACACAUAUUUAAUUUAUUUAGUUUUUGAAUAAUUUAAGUUCUUAAAUGUAUAUAAAUGUGAAAUAAAAUAAACAACAUUUAUUAAAAUAAACUUUGUAUUUUUAAACCCCAAUUACGUACACUGUUGUAUUUACAUUUCACUGUUGUAGUAUUUACACUGUCAGUAGUAAUUACACUGUAGUAUUUACAUUUCAAGACCUUAUAAACCAACAUCAUUCCUUGGAGUUUCAACCAAGAUCCUCUGGAGAACUUCUUUGGCCUCAUUAGGCAGCAGGGGGGGGGGAUUGUGACAACCAAUUAGUUCCAUCCAGUUCACCAGAGCAUUUUGCAUAUUAUUUGUAGAUAAUAUUUUGACACCACUUUCAAUUGGCACCUGUGCUGAAGAUUCUGAUGCUUAUUUGAUUGCAUUUCACCCUAGCCAAUCUGAUUUAUCUGCAGGAAAUGAUCAGACAAGCCCACCACUAAUCCAAGCAGUUGAAGAUACCGACUACAAAACAAAUGAAAUUGAACAAAACUUAGUCUGCAUGAACUUAUGUGUCAGGCUAUUUAUUAAGGAAGUGCCUUAUCCAACAUAGCUGUCCAAUAUGCCAUCAUAAUUUUGUGACAAAGGAUGUCAAUGACAGUAGUCUCUGCUAUUCUGCAUGUGAAAGACCUCUGACCUUUGAAGGCAUAAGCAUGCCUUCAAAUGCGGAUUAACAAUCCGUAAAGAAACGUUUCUUUGCUGGAGAAUAUAUUUGUGAAUGUGGUUAUUAGUUGCACAGAAAGUAUUAAAAACAUAGGUAGUUUAACUUUUAAUUUUUGCUCACAAAUCGCAAAGCUACAUGCAUGGAACCUGAUGGACGUGUUUCAAACCAGCACCUAUGAUUUCUUAUUAAUGUAAAAGACAGGAAAGCAAUACGUUUGGCCCGCAUUAAUUUAGCGAAAUGGGAAUCUGCUUC
RNAcentral lists this long non-coding RNA (2573 nucleotides) under Paramuricea clavata. Lineage: Eukaryota; Metazoa; Cnidaria; Anthozoa; Malacalcyonacea; Plexauridae. The record is from RNAcentral.